UGCAGUCGAACGGUUGUAGCAAUACAGCAGUGGCAGACGGGUGAGUAACACGUGGGAACCUACCUAGGGGUACGGAAUAACUCAGGGAAACUUGUGCUAAUACCGUAUACGACCUUCGGGUGAAAGAUUUAUCGCCCCUAGAUGGGCCCGCGUUGGAUUAGCUAGUUGGUGGGGUAAAAGCCUACCAAGGCGACGAUCCAUAGCUGGUCUGAGAGGAUGAUCAGCCACACUGGGACUGAGACACGGCCCAAACUCCUACGGGAGGCAGCAGUAGGGAAUCUUGGACAAUGGGCGAAAGCCUGAUCCAGCCAUGCCGCGUGAGUGAUGAAGGCCUUAGGGUUGUAAAGCUCUUUCGCCAGGGAAGAUAAUGACGGUACCUGGAUAAGAAGCCCCGGCAAACUUCGUGCCAGCAGCCGCGGUAAUACGAAGGGGGCUAGCGUUGUUCGGAAUUACUGGGCGUAAAGCGCACGUAGGCGGUUUUCCAAGUUGGAGGUGAAAUCCCUGGGCUCAACCCGGGAACUGCCUCCAAAACUGGAUGACUCGAGUCCGAGAGAGGUGAGUGGAAUUUCCAGUGUAGAGGUGAAAUUCGUAGAUAUUGGAAAGAACACCAGUGGCGAAGGCGGCUCACUGGCUCGGUACUGACGCUGAGG
This 650-nucleotide ribosomal RNA is filed under the name uncultured bacterium. RNAcentral's name for it is "bacterial SSU rRNA". It matches the Rfam family "Bacterial small subunit ribosomal RNA", at positions 56 to 751 of the family's 1533-position model. The record is from RNAcentral.